This 76-nucleotide unclassified non-coding RNA is filed under the name Chryseolinea serpens. RNAcentral describes it as "Flavo-1 RNA". Lineage: Bacteria; Pseudomonadati; Bacteroidota; Cytophagia; Cytophagales; Fulvivirgaceae. The record is from RNAcentral.
CAGGGAUAGAAACGGAAAGCCCGAAGUGCGUGGGACUUGCGCGUGGCCGGACUUGUAGUGGAUAGCCCGCCCGAGG